This 214-nucleotide long non-coding RNA is filed under the name Elaeis guineensis (African oil palm). RNAcentral's name for it is "long non-coding RNA (EGUI_LNC038498)". The record is from RNAcentral. Lineage: Eukaryota; Viridiplantae; Streptophyta; Magnoliopsida; Arecales; Arecaceae.
UAGGACGUUCAGAUCCUUAGCUUCUUGGAUAGCGGUCACUUUGGCUUCCCAAGUUCUAGGACACAAUACAAAACAUUCAUGGCUUUAGCAUUUAGUUGAGCCAUUUUCUUAUCAACCUCAUCCCAUUCUUUUUCGGGUUUGGUUGAUUCCACACCAUCAAUAAUUUUAGUGGGUGUGUGAGGGCCGUUUACUAUGAUACUCCACAUAUCAUAGU